RNAcentral lists this non-coding RNA (29 nucleotides) under Rattus norvegicus (Norway rat). Lineage: Eukaryota; Metazoa; Chordata; Mammalia; Rodentia; Muridae. The record is from RNAcentral.
UGGCUAUGUGCUAAAGUGUGCUGUGAUUU